RNAcentral lists this transfer RNA (61 nucleotides) under Ictidomys tridecemlineatus (thirteen-lined ground squirrel). Its description in RNAcentral is "Spermophilus tridecemlineatus (thirteen-lined ground squirrel) tRNA". It matches the Rfam family "tRNA", at positions 6 to 65 of the family's 71-position model. Rfam says of the family: Transfer RNA (tRNA) molecules are approximately 80 nucleotides in length. Their secondary structure includes four short double-helical elements and three loops (D, anti-codon, and T loops). Lineage: Eukaryota; Metazoa; Chordata; Mammalia; Rodentia; Sciuridae. The record is from Rfam by way of RNAcentral.
UGUGGCUCAGUGGUACAGUGCUUGCCUGGAAAGCAUGAAGCUAUGGGUUCAAUUCCCAGCA